GCCGGGCGUGGUGGUAUGUGCCUGUAGUCCCAGCUACUCAGGAGGCUGAGGUGGGAGGAUUGCUCUAGCCCAGGAGGUCAAGGCUGCAGUGAGCCGUGUUCAUGCCACUGCACUCUAGCCUGGAUGACAGAGCAAGACUCUGUCUUAAAUAAAUAAGUAAUAAUAAAAAUAGACAAGAUGUGCCACUGCACUCUAGCCUGGGCGACAGAGCGAGACUCUGUCUCA
This 225-nucleotide small RNA is filed under the name Nomascus leucogenys (northern white-cheeked gibbon). RNAcentral describes it as "Metazoan signal recognition particle RNA (ENSNLEG00000029913.1)". The stretch from base 1 to 148 matches the Rfam family "Metazoan signal recognition particle RNA". Rfam says of the family: The signal recognition particle (SRP) is a universally conserved ribonucleoprotein. It is involved in the co-translational targeting of proteins to membranes. Lineage: Eukaryota; Metazoa; Chordata; Mammalia; Primates; Hylobatidae. The record is from RNAcentral.